UACGUAGGGUGCGAGCGUUAAUCGGAAUUACUGGGCGUAAAGCGUGCGCAGGCGGUCUUGCAAGACAGAGGUGAAAUCCCCGGGCUCAACCUGGGAACUGCCUUUGUGACUGCAAGGCUAGAGUACGGCAGAGGGGGAUGGAAUUCCGCGUGUAGCAGUGAAAUGCGUAGAUAUGCGGAGGAACACCGAUGGCGAAGGCAAUCCCCUGGGCCUGUACUGACGCUCAUGCACGAAAGCGUGGGGAGCGAACAGG
This 253-nucleotide ribosomal RNA is filed under the name uncultured bacterium. Its description in RNAcentral is "partial 16S ribosomal RNA". It matches the Rfam family "Bacterial small subunit ribosomal RNA", at positions 524 to 776 of the family's 1533-position model. The record is from RNAcentral.